RNAcentral lists this long non-coding RNA (737 nucleotides) under Felis catus (domestic cat). RNAcentral describes it as "lncRNA (ENSFCAG00000051033.1)". Lineage: Eukaryota; Metazoa; Chordata; Mammalia; Carnivora; Felidae. The record is from RNAcentral.
AAAAAGAGUCCAUUCACUCUCUACAAUUUCUGUACCGUAUCUUCAUUAAAAUGUCAGAAGGCUACACCCUAAAAUUGGAGACCAGAGCACUGGGGGCCGUGCAAAUCAUGAAUGGCCUGUUGUACUGCGCGUUGGGCUUUCUCUGUUUUGCAUUAUUUGUCGAAGAAGAGAACAGAGAAGCUACUGGUUACAUCCCUGUCAUUGUUACACUAACUUACGUAUUUUGUUCAUCAACAUUUUUCAUCAGCUCGGGCUCCAUCAGCGUACAAGCACAGAAGCAUCCUACAAAAUCCAAGCUUAUUGCUAGCAUGGUUAUGAACAUCCUAAGUGCCUGCUUUUCUGUACUUGGUAUAAUGAUAUUAAGUAUUGCAAGUUUAACGUAUUAUCCAGACACCAAUGAAUACCUGUGGUCACAUAUAGCUGGUAGUAUGCUUUUACAAUAUGUACUCUUCACCACGAUCGUGGAAGUGAUCUGUGCAUACGUGACUGUCAAGUGGAUUGAAGCAGCAAUGCGUCCUGUAGAAUGCAGUGAGAUAAGUCCACAGCUGUCUCAGUGCAGUGGCUCUACAUAACUCACAAAGAACCAGUGUGACUCCCAUCAAGAACGAAAGAUUAAUCGUGAACUGGGGAAGAACUCCGCGAUUGUUCUCAAGAGGCCUCACGGAAAAUACAGGCUACUGAUGUCCUUCCCAGUGCGCCUUCUCCCUACUUCGUCAAUAAAGGAUGCAAUCUGAUCA